RNAcentral lists this ribosomal RNA (845 nucleotides) under uncultured archaeon. Its description in RNAcentral is "bacterial SSU rRNA". It matches the Rfam family "Archaeal small subunit ribosomal RNA", at positions 76 to 922 of the family's 1478-position model. The record is from RNAcentral.
CAAAGGCAGACGGCUCAGUAACGCGUAGUCAACCUACCCUAUGGACGGGAAUAACCUCGGGAAACUGAGAAUAAUACCCGAUAGAACAUUAUGCCUGGAAUGGUUUAUGUUUCAAAUGAUUUAUCGCCGUAGGAUGGGACUGCGGCCUAUCAGUUUGUUGGUGAGGUAAUGGCCCACCAAGACUAUUACAGGUACGGGCUCUGAGAGGAGUAGCCCGGAGAUGGGUACUGAGACACGGACCCAGGCCCUAUGGGGCGCAGCAGGCGAGAAAACUUUGCAAUGUGCGAAAGCACGACAAGGUUAAUCCGAGUGGUUUCUGCUAAAGGAACCUUUUGUCAGUCCUAGAAACACUGAUGAAUAAGGGGUGGGCAAGUUCUGGUGUCAGCCGCCGCGGUAAAACCAGCACCUCAAGUGGUCAGGAUGAUUAUUGGGCCUAAAGCAUCCGUAGCCGGCUCUGUAAGUUUUCGGUUAAAUCUGUACGCUCAACGUACAGGCUGCCGGGAAUACUGUAGAGCUAGGGAGUGGGAGAGGUAGACGGUACUCGGUAGGAAGGGGUAAAAUCCUUUGAUCUAUUGAUGACCACCUGUGGCGAAGGCGGUCUACCAGAACACGUCCGACGGUGAGGGAUGAAAGCUGGGGGAGCAAACCGGAUUGGAUACCCGGGUAGUCCCAGCUGUAAACUAUGCAAACUCAGUGAUGCAUUGGCUUGUGGCCAAUGCAGUGCUGCAGGGAAGCCGUUAAGUUUGCCGCCUGGGAAGUACGUACGCAAGUAUGAAACUUAAAGGAAUUGGCGGGGGAGCACCACAAGGGGUGAAGCCUGCGGUUCAAUUGGAGUCAACGCCGGG